GCUCCGGUAGCUCAGUUGGAUUAGAGCGGUCGGCUUCUACCCGACAGGUCAUAGGUUCGAGUCCUAUCCGGAGUACCA
This 78-nucleotide transfer RNA is filed under the name Candidatus Saccharimonadota bacterium. RNAcentral's name for it is "tRNA-Arg". It matches the Rfam family "tRNA". Rfam says of the family: Transfer RNA (tRNA) molecules are approximately 80 nucleotides in length. Their secondary structure includes four short double-helical elements and three loops (D, anti-codon, and T loops). Further hydrogen bonds mediate the characteristic L-shaped molecular structure. tRNAs have two regions of fundamental functional importance: the anti-codon, which is responsible for specific mRNA codon recognition, and the 3' end, to which the tRNAs corresponding amino acid is attached (by aminoacyl-tRNA synthetases). tRNAs cope with the degeneracy of the genetic code in two manners: having more than one tRNA (with a specific anti-codon) for a particular amino acid; and 'wobble' base-pairing, i.e. permitting non-standard base-pairing at the 3rd anti-codon position. The record is from RNAcentral. Lineage: Bacteria; Candidatus Saccharimonadota. RNAcentral also lists the same sequence under 1 other name.